GACGAACGCUGGCGGCGUGCUUAACACAUGCAAGUCGAACGAAGAGCGAUGGAAGCUUGCUUCUAUCAAUAUUAGUGGCGAACGGGUGAGUAACGCGUAAUCAACCUGCCCUUCAGAGGGGGACAACAGUUGGAAACGACUGCUAAUACCGCAUACGAUCUAAUCUCGGCAUCGAGGAUAGAUGAAAGGUGGCCUCUACAUGUAAGCUAUCACUGAAGGAGGGGAUUGCGUCUGAUUAGCUAGUUGGAGGGGUAACGGCCCACCAAGGCGAUGAUCAGUAGCCGGUCUGGGAGGAUGAACGGCCACAUUGGGACUGAGACACGGCCCAGACUCCUACGGGAGGCAGCAGUGGGGAAUCUUCCGCAAUGGACGAAAGUCUGACGGAGCAACGCCGCGUGAGUGAUGACGGCCUUCGGGUUGUAAAGCUCUGUUAAUCGGGACGAAAGGCCUUCUUGCGAAUAGUGAGAAGGAUUGACGGUACCGGAAUAGAAAGCCACGGCUAACUACGUG
Molecule: ribosomal RNA, 510 nt
Filed under: uncultured bacterium
Lineage: Bacteria
Description: partial 16S ribosomal RNA
Rfam family: Bacterial small subunit ribosomal RNA
Source: RNAcentral